GAUGAACGCUGGCAGAAUGCUUAACACAUGCAAGUCUACUUGAACUUCGGUUUGGGUGGCGGACGGGUGAGUAACGCGUAAAGAACUUGCCUCACAGAUAGGGACAACAUUUGGAAACGAAUGCUAAUACCUGAUAUUAUGAUUUUAGGGCAUCCUAGAAUUAUGAAAGCUAUAUGCACUGUGAGAGAGCUUUGCGUCCCAUUAGCUAGUUGGAGAGGUAACGGCUCACCAAGGCGAUGAUGGGUAGCCGGCCUGAGAGGGUGAUCGGCCACAAGGGGACUGAGACACGGCCCUUACUCCUACGGGAGGCAGCAGUGGGGAAUAUUGGACAAUGGACCAAGAGUCUGAUCCAGCAAUUCUGUAUGCACGAUGAAGUUUUUCGGAAUGUAAAGUGCUUUCAGUUGGGAAGAAAAAAAUGACGGUACCAACAGAAGAAGUGACGGCUAAAUACGUG
RNAcentral lists this ribosomal RNA (454 nucleotides) under uncultured bacterium. RNAcentral describes it as "partial 16S ribosomal RNA". It matches the Rfam family "Bacterial small subunit ribosomal RNA", at positions 28 to 507 of the family's 1533-position model. The record is from RNAcentral.